This 226-nucleotide non-coding RNA is filed under the name Shouchella clausii. Its description in RNAcentral is "Bacillus clausii T-box sequence". It matches the Rfam family "T-box leader". From Rfam's summary of the family: Uncharged tRNA acts as the effector for transcription antitermination of genes in the T-box leader family. T-boxes are found upstream of many aminoacyl-tRNA synthetase genes and some amino acid biosynthetic genes usually in Gram-positive bacteria. The anticodon of a specific tRNA base pairs to a specifier sequence within the T-box motif, and the NCCA acceptor tail of the tRNA base pairs to a conserved bulge in the T-box antiterminator hairpin. Lineage: Bacteria; Bacillati; Bacillota; Bacilli; Caryophanales; Bacillaceae. The record is from RNAcentral.
UAAAAAGCGAUGAGCAGGAAGAGUAGAAUGGCUGUGCCUCAAAGAGAGGGAAACCAAGGCUGGAAGUUUCCUAGGCUACAAGCGUUUGAAGGUCGCCUGUGAGCUGUUCCGCUGAACGAGUUAGUAAGCGGAAUCGGUUUUUGACCGUUACAAAAAAGUCGAGCUGCACGGUUACAAGUAUGCCGUGAACAAAGGUGGCACCGCGAACACUCCCUUCGUCCUUUGA